Molecule: ribosomal RNA, 860 nt
Filed under: Clitocybe brunneocaperata
Lineage: Eukaryota; Fungi; Basidiomycota; Agaricomycetes; Agaricales; Clitocybaceae
Description: LSU rRNA
Rfam family: Eukaryotic large subunit ribosomal RNA
Source: RNAcentral
CCCUAGUAACUGCGAGUGAAGCGGGAAAAGCUCAAAUUUAAAAUCUGGCGGUCCCUGUGGCUGUCCGAGUUGUAAUCUAGAGAAGUGCUAUCCGCGCUGGACCGUGUACAAGUCUCCUGGAACGGAGCGUCAUAGAGGGUGAGAAUCCCGUCUUUGACACGGACUACCAGGGCUUUGUGAUGUGCUCUCAAAGAGUCGAGUUGUUUGGGAAUGCAGCUCUAAAUGGGUGGUAAAUUCCAUCUAAAGCUAAAUAUUGGCGAGAGACCGAUAGCGAACAAGUACCGUGAGGGAAAGAUGAAAAGAACUUUGGAAAGAGAGUUAAACAGUACGUGAAAUUGUUGAAAGGGAAACGCUUGAAGUCAGUCGCGUUGGCCGGGGAUCAACCUUGCUCUUUUGCUUGGUGUACUUCCCAGUCGACGGGUCAGCAUCAAUUUUGACCGGUGGAUAAAGGUCAGGGGAAUGUGGCAUCUUCGGAUGUGUUAUAGCCCUUGGUUGCAUACAUCGGUUGGGAUUGAGGAACUCAGCACGCCGCAAGGCCGGGUCUUUGACCACGUACGUGCUUAGGAUGCUGGCAUAAUGGCUUUAAUCGACCCGUCUUGAAACACGGACCAAGGAGUCUAACAUGCCCGCGAGUGUUUGGGUGGAAAACCCGGACGCGUAAUGAAAGUGAAAGUUGAGAUCCCUGUCGUGGGGAGCAUCGACGCCCGGACCAGACCUUUUGUGACGGUCCCGCGGUAGAGCGUGUAUGUUGGGACCCGAAAGAUGGUGAACUAUGCCUGAAUAGGGUGAAGCCAGAGGAAACUCUGGUGGAGGCUCGUAGCGAUUCUGACGUGCAAAUCGAUCGUCGAAUUUGGGUAUAG